This 70-nucleotide transfer RNA is filed under the name Strongylocentrotus purpuratus (purple sea urchin). It matches the Rfam family "tRNA". From Rfam's summary of the family: Transfer RNA (tRNA) molecules are approximately 80 nucleotides in length. Their secondary structure includes four short double-helical elements and three loops (D, anti-codon, and T loops). The record is from Rfam by way of RNAcentral. Lineage: Eukaryota; Metazoa; Echinodermata; Echinoidea; Camarodonta; Strongylocentrotidae.
GUUGUGGUAAUGUGGAUAAGUCAUCUGACUGAGAACCACAAGGUACAGGGUUCAAAUCCCUGCCACAGCU